CAGCCGCCGCGGUAAUACAGAGGGUGCAAGAGUUAAUCGGAAUUACUGGGCGUAAAGCGUGCGCAGGCGGUUAUAUAAGACAGAUGUGAAAUCCCCGGGCUCAACCUGGGAACUGCAUUUGUGACUGUAUAGCUAGAGUACGGCAGAGGGGGAUGGAAUUCCGCGUGUAGCAGUGAAAUGCGUAGAUAUGCGGAGGAACACCGAUGGCGAAGGCAAUCCCCUGGGCCUGUACUGACGCUCAUGCACGAAAGCGUGGGGAGCAAACAGGAUUAGAUACCCGAGUAGUCCCUGUCUCUUAUAA
Molecule: ribosomal RNA, 301 nt
Filed under: uncultured bacterium
Lineage: Bacteria
Description: partial 16S ribosomal RNA
Rfam family: Bacterial small subunit ribosomal RNA
Source: RNAcentral